GUGCCAGCCGCCGCGGUAAUUCCAGUCUCCAAUAGCGUAUAUUAAAGUUGUUGUGGUUAAAAAGCUCGUAGUUGAACCUUGGGCCUGGCUGGCCGGUCCGCCUCACCGCGUGCACUGGUCCGGCCGGGCCUUUCCCUCUGUGGAACCCCAUACCCUUCACUGGGCGUGGCGGGGAAACAGGACAUUUACUUUGAAAAAAUUAGAGUGCUCCAGGCAGGCCUAUGCUCGAAUACAUUAGCAUGGAAUAAUAAAAUAGGACGCGCGGUUCUAUUUUGUUGGUUUAUAGGACCGCCGUAAUGAUUAAUAGGGACAGUCGGGGGCAUCAGUAUUCAACUGUCAGAGGUGAAAUUCUUGGAUCAGUUGAAGACUAGCUACUGCGAAAGCAUUUGCCAAGGAUGUUUUCAUUAAUCAGGAACGAAAGUUAGGGGAUCGAAGACGAUCAGAUACCGUCGUAGUCUUAACCAUAAACUAUGCCGACUAGGGAUCGGACGGUGUUAUUCAUGACCCGUUCGGCACCUUACGAGAAAUCAAAGUGCUUGGGCUCCAGGGGGAGUAUGGUCGCAAGGCUGAAACUUAAAGAAAUUGACGGAAGGGCACCACCAGGGGUGGAGCCUGCGGCUUAAUUUGACUCAACACGGGGAAACUCACCAGGUCCAGACACAAUAAGGAUUGACAGAUUGAGAGCUCUUUCUUGAUUUUGUGGUGGUGAUGCAUGACCGUUCUUAGUGGUGGGGUGACUUGUCUGCUUAAUUGCGAUAACGAACGAGACCUUAACCUGCUAAAUAGCCCGCAUGCUCCGGCAGUGCGCUGGCUUCUUAGAGGGACUUUCC
Molecule: ribosomal RNA, 830 nt
Filed under: uncultured fungus
Lineage: Eukaryota; Fungi
Description: SSU rRNA
Rfam family: Eukaryotic small subunit ribosomal RNA
Source: RNAcentral